GGGGUUGUGGGUCAGUGGUAGAUCACUCACUAGCAUGUGCAAGAUCCUGGGUUCAAUCCUCAGCACCACA
RNAcentral lists this transfer RNA (70 nucleotides) under Marmota monax (woodchuck). RNAcentral's name for it is "tRNA.Undet". Lineage: Eukaryota; Metazoa; Chordata; Mammalia; Rodentia; Sciuridae. The record is from RNAcentral.